RNAcentral lists this ribosomal RNA (218 nucleotides) under uncultured Lactobacillus sp. RNAcentral describes it as "partial 16S ribosomal RNA". It matches the Rfam family "Bacterial small subunit ribosomal RNA", at positions 144 to 354 of the family's 1533-position model. The record is from RNAcentral. Lineage: Bacteria; Bacillati; Bacillota; Bacilli; Lactobacillales; Lactobacillaceae.
UAACACCUGGAAACAGAUGCUAAUACCGGAUAACAACAGAUGAUGCCUAUCAACUGUUUAAAAGAUGGUUCUGCUAUCACUCUUGGAUGGACCUGCGGUGCAUUAGCUAGUUGGUAGGGUAACGGCCUACCAAGGCGAUGAUGCAUAGCCGAGUUGAGAGACUGAUCGGCCACAUUGGGACUGAGACGCGGCCCAAACUCCUACGGGAGGCAGCAGGC